Molecule: transfer RNA, 59 nt
Filed under: Hirudo medicinalis (medicinal leech)
Lineage: Eukaryota; Metazoa; Annelida; Clitellata; Hirudinida; Hirudinidae
Description: tRNA-Val
Source: RNAcentral
CAGAUUAUAACAUAAUAAUGUGCUUUAUUUACACUAGAGAAAUGAAUUAUCUAAUCUGA